Molecule: non-coding RNA, 546 nt
Organism: Pelobates cultripes (western spadefoot toad)
Lineage: Eukaryota; Metazoa; Chordata; Amphibia; Anura; Pelobatidae
Source: the annotation of a GenBank genome assembly
CUCCUACUGACACACAUGCCGACAGACACACAGACACACGCCGACAGACACACAGACAUAUACUGACAGAUACACAGACACAUACUGACAGACACACAGACACACACACACUGACAGAGACACACACACACAGACAGACUUUACUUUAUUGCUCCCUACCUUUUGGAGCUGAUCUGGGGCAUCUCCCUGGGGUCCUUCUAUUUGCUCCUCACUGUUCCCUUGCGCGGUUUAGUGGUGCCGGAAUAGGACUUCAUAUUCCGGCACCCGGCUUCACUACAGACGGCGCGAGGGAGCAGUGAGGAGCAGGAGCACUGAACUCCCUCGCUGGCCCUCCUCCCCUGCCGGGUAAGUGUUAGCAGAGUAGGUACCUGCAAUGUGGGGAAAGCAAGUGCCUACUCUGCUAUAACACUGAGCAUGCACUCACGGCUUGACAUGCUUGCUUUAUAUUAUAUACUGUUAAUAUACCUCUCUAUGUCCUCUUGGGAUCUUCUCCAUAGAACAAAACACAAUACUCUAGGUGAGAUCUUACCGGGAUAUAUAAAGUAC